Tympanuchus pallidicinctus (lesser prairie-chicken) is the source of this 414-nucleotide long non-coding RNA. RefSeq lists it as uncharacterized. Lineage: Eukaryota; Metazoa; Chordata; Aves; Galliformes; Phasianidae. The transcript is spliced from 4 exons. The record is from RefSeq and is a predicted model, not a curated record.
CAAUGGUGGGCUGUUUUACAGGAAAGUCAAAGUUAAGGCUUGGCCCACUGUUGGUAACUACAUGGAGAGUGAUGUUGUAAGAUGCAAGAAAGACUUUGGCACGGGUCUCCAAUAUGCAUGGAAGGAUCGCACACCCAGAUGGGUAAAAUCAAUCAAUGCUCUUCCACUGGUUGCUGGGAUAUUGGGUCAACCAACCCUGGCUCCCUUCAGAUCAUGGAAGGCGAAGUCAGAAGUGAGAACUUCUUACUAACAUACUGGAAGGAUAAAUGGGAAUGCUUUUAUUUUAGCAGUUGUCACAGAGCAUGGUGGCGAAUGGAAAGAAGAACUGAAGAUGUGCUAAAAGCAAGAGUCUGUCUACGAGAACACAGAAAACAGCACGAUCUGGACUGUGCCUUCUGCUGCAACGUAGCAGAC